RNAcentral lists this long non-coding RNA (640 nucleotides) under Cercocebus atys (sooty mangabey). RNAcentral's name for it is "lncRNA (ENSCATG00000045816.1)". Lineage: Eukaryota; Metazoa; Chordata; Mammalia; Primates; Cercopithecidae. The record is from RNAcentral.
CACAAAUAGAAAUACAGAAAGAAGUGACUUGCUGUGGGCCCUUUGAAGAAGUUGGUGACUGAGUUUGUUCAGUUGUGUUUAGAUAAUAGAAUUAGGCUUAGUCUACUGGGCCUCAUUGAACAAAAGGGAAUUUUUCAUUAAAAUGUAUAUUCUGGGCUUCUGAAACAAAAUCAUAAGUUCAGGCAUCACUAGGCCCACAUUCUGUGUGGCAUCAAUCCAGAGCUGAGUAAUGGUAGCUGUUUAUGGAAGAGGCAUGAAUUCUCCAGUUGCGGUAGUUUCCAUCAUUCUCACUUUGUUUUCCUAACUGGCCUUGUCUGUGUCAUAUCUGAGUUUGCAGCCCCUGCUAAGCUUUGUUUUCUUUCUGGUUUUCUUUUACCCAACUUCCAAGUUCCCUUCAGAAGGCUCACAACAUAUAAUCCUGGGAAGUUCUUCUUCUUGCUAUCUGUUGCAAAUUGGUGUAAGGACAGACUCUUCACAAGAAAUGGAUGCUUCAAACUGGAUUUGGCCCAAUUCUGAGAUGAAAACCUCUCUCUGCAGUUCCUGGUAUCACCUGAAAAGCAAAAAAUAAGGAUUUUCUUCCUUCUCAAUGCCAUCUAGCACUUGAAGAAAAACUGCCAGCAAGCCAGAUGGUAAGUUGUCA